UUAGUUAAUUCAUAUGUACAUCCCCAAUUUUAUUUGAAAUUAGAUAUAUUUGAAUCUACAUAUUUAUUUGUUUACAUAUUCAUUGACAUUUGACGAAAUAUGUAUGCUUACGAGGAAAUCACUCAUGUAACCAUUUCAAACGUCGACAUCAUCGCCGUCAAAGUCAUGAAACCGAGCACACAAACAUUAUCGGAUCAUUUGUUAAGCUUGAAUAACCAUAGUCCAGUACAAAGCACUAUGUUAAGGGUGGAGUGCCCCGUUACCAAUGAUCAUCUUGAGGUGGAUGCUGUUAAGAAGGAAAAAGCUGUCAACGAGCAACCGUAAGACAUUUCAAAUCAGAUCAAGACCGAUGCCUAAGGCGUGUCAUGCUGCUAAUCGAGUCAAGAAACAAGUUGGUCGACUUCUUCAUUGUUCCAUGGCGGAAUGGACAACUCAGGUCUCAGAGACUAUGCUUGGAAUCAGGUUAAACUUUCCACUUUUAUUUGGUCCACUUUUCUCGAUUAUGAGUAAACAUUAAUGAGAUUGUAACUAUUGG
Molecule: long non-coding RNA, 535 nt
Filed under: Trifolium pratense (red clover)
Lineage: Eukaryota; Viridiplantae; Streptophyta; Magnoliopsida; Fabales; Fabaceae
Description: long non-coding RNA (TPRA_LNC012520)
Source: RNAcentral